AUUGAACGCUGGCGGCAGGCCUAACACAUGCAAGUCGAACGGUAACAGGAAGAAGCUUGCUUCUUUGCUGACGAGUGGCGGACGGGUGAGUAAUGCCUGGGAAACUGCCUGAUGGAGGGGGAUAACUACUGGAAACGGUAGCUAAUACCGCAUAACGUCGCAAGACCAAAGAGGGGGACCUUCGGGCCUCUUGCCAUCGGAUGUGCCCAGAUGGGAUUAGCUAGUAGGUGGGGUAACGGCUCACCUAGGCGACGAUCCCUAGCUGGUCUGAGAGGAUGACCAGCCACACUGGAACUGAGACACGGUCCAGACUCCUACGGGAGGCAGCAGUGGGGAAUAUUGCACAAUGGGCGCAAGCCAGAUGCAGCCAUGCCGCGUGUAUGAAGAAGGCCUUCGGGUUGUAAAGUACUUUCAGCGGGGAGGAAGGGAGUAAAGUUAAUACCUUUGCUCAUUGACGUUACCCGCAGAAGAAGCACCGGCUAACUCCGUG
RNAcentral lists this ribosomal RNA (490 nucleotides) under uncultured bacterium. RNAcentral describes it as "partial 16S ribosomal RNA". It matches the Rfam family "Bacterial small subunit ribosomal RNA", at positions 30 to 507 of the family's 1533-position model. The record is from RNAcentral.